Molecule: ribosomal RNA, 466 nt
Filed under: uncultured bacterium
Lineage: Bacteria
Description: partial 16S ribosomal RNA
Rfam family: Bacterial small subunit ribosomal RNA
Source: RNAcentral
ACGAACGCUGGCGGCGUGCUUAACACAUGCAAGUCGAACGGAAAGGCCUCAGCUUGCUGGGGUACUCGAGUGGCGAACGGGUGAGUAACACGUGGGUGAUCUGCCUUGCACUCUGGGAUAAGCUUGGGAAACUGGGUCUAAUACCGGAUAUGAACUGCCUUUAGUGUGGUGGUUGGAAAGUUUUUUCGGUGCAGGAUGGGCUGGCGGCGUAUCAGCUUGUUGGGGGGGUAAUGGCCUACCAAGGGGUCGUCGGGUAGCCGGCCUGAGAGGGUGGACGGCAACAUUGGGACUGAGAGACGGCCCAGACGCCUACGGGAGGCAGCAGUGGGGAAUAUUGCACAAUGGGCGGAAGCCGUAUGCAGCGACGCCGCGUGUGGGAUGACGGCCUUCGGGUUGUAAACGCCUUUCGACAGGGACGAAGCUUUUUGUGACGGUACCUGGAUAAGAAGCACCGGCUAACUACGUG